UUCUGCUCUGCUUUGCGCGGGAGAAAUAAUUGGCACAAAUCGCCCGAAAAACAACUAGACUUGUGUGCAGCCGUGCACAAACGAUGCCUCAGAUAUUCCACGUGGUUCGCUGUCAUCAGUGCGAAACGUUUCAGGUGCAUCAGGUGAAAAAAGUAAACAAAUGGGUGUGCAAAUUAUGCGGUGAAAAGCAGUCCGUAACGCGGGAGUACGGAAGAGGAUCUGGCAAGGAGUGCAGGAUACACGUUCAGAACCUAAAUUCGAUGAGAGGCGCACUAUCAUCGUCUAGUCUGAAUGAACAGGAACAAACUGAAACGAGUUAUCAAGAAGAGUUGGUCCCUGCCGAUGAUGAGCAGGAUGCCAUUAAUAGAUGCGAGCAAACAUCUACAAAUACCCCAGUGAGCAAGUGGAAGAAGUUCGUUGAUAGCAGCUUUGAGCAAUGCUCAACACUGAACCGAGCCAACGAGGACCCAUCUCUAGAAUUUGUCGAAUCAUGCAGUGAACCAAAACACCAGUCAUUGUUACACUGUGAAGACGUUGCUUCUGCAGAUGUGCAGGAAACUGAAAGCAUUCAAGAAGAAAACUAUGACCUAAAUGCAGGUGUGGGUUUGAGAGCAUGCAGCACUUUGAAAAAUCUGCUGUCACGUUCCAAGUUUUCCAGUCUCCAGCUCUGUGAUGAAGACUUUGAGUUGUGAAAUUUUCACAGUUCCUUAGGUGUUGUUGCUGUCUGCAUUCAUGUAUCUGCUUAAUACAGUGGCAGCUGCUGUGCAUGUGGGGUUCGACUAGCAUGAACACCAUAGGCAUUGUUUCUGUAUGUCAAAAUCUUAUUUGUGAACAAACGCACAGCCUCAGGGCAAAGACAAAGGAAGUGUGAAAGCUCAGAGCCGAGGCAGUGUCUGCAACGUGUGUUCAUGGGCGCUCUGAAACUGCAGUAAUGUGGAUAUCAGACAAGUUAAAAGUUCAUAAUAUGACCCGAGCUGCUCCUUAAGUUUCCUUGGCAGCGCGGAACCUUGUAAUGAAUAAAAAUUUAGCUUCAUGAACAA
Long non-coding RNA from Ornithodoros turicata, 1040 nucleotides. RefSeq lists it as uncharacterized. The record is from RefSeq and is a predicted model, not a curated record. The transcript is spliced from 3 exons. Lineage: Eukaryota; Metazoa; Arthropoda; Arachnida; Ixodida; Argasidae.